UACCAGACUCCUACGGGAGGCAGCAGUGGGGAAUAUUGCACAAUGGGGGAAACCCUGAUGCAGCGACGCCGCGUGAGUGAAGAAGUAUUUCGGUAUGUAAAGCUCUAUCAGCAGGGAAGAAAAUGACGGUACCUGACUAAGAAGCCCCGGCUAACUACGUGCCAGCAGCCGCGGUAAUACGUAGGGGGCAAGCGUUAUCCGGAUUUACUGGGUGUAAAGGGAGCGUAGACGGCAGCGCAAGUCUGAAGCGAAAUCCCAUGGCGUAACCAUGGAACUGCUUUGGAAGCUGUGCAGCUGGAGUGCAGGAGAGGUAAGCGGAAUUCCUAGUGUAGCGGUGAAAUGCGUAGAUAUUAGGAGGAGCACCAGUGGCGAAGGCGGCCUGCUGGACAGUAACUGACGUUGAGGCUCGAAAGCGUGGGGAGCAAACAGGAUUAGAUACCCCGGUAGUG
Molecule: ribosomal RNA, 449 nt
Filed under: uncultured bacterium
Lineage: Bacteria
Description: bacterial SSU rRNA
Rfam family: Bacterial small subunit ribosomal RNA
Source: RNAcentral